Molecule: ribosomal RNA, 253 nt
Filed under: Faecalibacterium prausnitzii
Lineage: Bacteria; Bacillati; Bacillota; Clostridia; Eubacteriales; Oscillospiraceae
Description: partial 16S ribosomal RNA
Rfam family: Bacterial small subunit ribosomal RNA
Source: RNAcentral
AACGUAGGUCACAAGCGUUGUCCGGAAUUACUGGGUGUAAAGGGAGCGCAGGCGGGAAGGCAAGUUGGAAGUGAAAUCCAUGGGCUCAACCCAUGAACUGCUUUCAAAACUUUUUUUCUUGAGUAGUGCAGAGGUAGGCGGAAUUCCCGGUGUAGCGGUGGAAUGCGUAGAUAUCGGGAGGAACACCAGUGGCGAAGGCGGCCUACUGGGCACCAACUGACGCUGAGGCUCGAAAGUGUGGGUAGCAAACAGG